CUGCAACUCGACUGCAUGAAGCUGGAAUCGCUAGUAAUCGCGAAUCAGAAUGUCGCGGUGAAUACGUUCCCGGGUCUUGUACACACCGCCCGUCACACCAUGGGAGUUGGUAACGCCCGAAGUCAGUGACCCAACCGCAAGGAGGGAGCUGCCGAAGGCGGGACCGGUAACUGGGGUGAAGUCGUAACAAGGUACC
This 196-nucleotide ribosomal RNA is filed under the name uncultured bacterium. RNAcentral describes it as "partial 16S ribosomal RNA". It matches the Rfam family "Bacterial small subunit ribosomal RNA", at positions 1305 to 1500 of the family's 1533-position model. The record is from RNAcentral.